This 944-nucleotide ribosomal RNA is filed under the name uncultured archaeon. RNAcentral describes it as "bacterial SSU rRNA". It matches the Rfam family "Archaeal small subunit ribosomal RNA", at positions 1 to 923 of the family's 1478-position model. The record is from RNAcentral.
UCCGGUUGAUCCUGCCRGACCCCACUGCUAUCGGGAUAGGACUAAGACAUGCUAGUUGAGCGCUUCCAGCCAACACGGGAGCGCAGCGCACAGCUCAGUAACACGUGGCUAAUCUGCCCUUGGGACCGGAACACCCCCGGGAAACUGGGGCUAAUUCUCGAUAGGUGAAGAACUCUGGAAUGAGUCUUUGCCAAAAAGACGUUUACGUUAUGCUCGUAGGCGUCGCCCAAGGAUGAGGCCGCGACCGAUCAGGUUGUUGGUGAGGUAAUGGCUCACCAAGCCUUUUACCGGUGCGGGCCGUGAGAGCGGGAGCCCGGAGAUGGGCACUGAGACAAGGGCCCAGGCCCUACGGGGCGCAGCAGUCGCGAAAACUUUGCAAUACACGAAAGUGUGACAGGGCUAUCCCGAGUGCCAUCCGCUGAGGAAGGCUUUUACCCAGUCUAGAACGCUGGGGGAAUAAGGAGAGGGCAAGUCUGGUGUCAGCCGCCGCGGUAAUACCAGCUCUCCGAGUGGUGUGGAUGUUUAUUGGGCCUAAAGCAUCCGUAGCUGGCUGAGUUAGUCCCUUGUUAAAUCCACCGAAUUAAUCGUUGGAUCGCGGGGGAUACUGCUCGGCUAGGGGACGAGAGAGGCAGACGGUAUUUCUGGGGUAGGGGUGAAAUCCUAUAAUCCCAGGAGGACCACCAGUGGCGAAGGCUGUCUGCUAGAACGCGCCCGACGGUGAGGGAUGAAAGCUGGGGGAGCGAACCGGAUUAGAUACCCGGGUAGUCCCAGCUGUAAACGAUGCAGACUAGGUGUUUGGACGGCCACGUGCCGUUCUAGUGCCGCAGGGAAGCUGUUAAGUCUGCCGCCUGGGGAGUACGAUCGCAAGAUUGAAACUUAAAGGAAUUGGCGGGGGAGCACUACAAGGGGUGAAGCUUGCGGUUUAAUUGGAKUCAACGCCGGRA